Molecule: unclassified non-coding RNA, 202 nt
Filed under: Hevea brasiliensis (rubber tree)
Lineage: Eukaryota; Viridiplantae; Streptophyta; Magnoliopsida; Malpighiales; Euphorbiaceae
Source: RNAcentral
GGAACCAAAAUUUUUUUCAAAGAAAAGGUAAGUUAACGCUUGGUUUAAUCCCAUGUUGCAUUGUUGAAAAAGCGUAUUUGUUGGUCUUUUGAUCGUCUGUUUUCAUUAUUUAUGGAGUAGUGUAUUUGCAACACUAGAUUCUUCUACGUUUCUUAUAACUUGGAUCCUUAUUCAUUACCUAGGACCACAACAUAGUUCCGAU